GAUGAACGCUAGCGGCAGGCUUAAUACAUGCAAGUCGUGGGGCAGCAUGAGUAGCAAUACUUGAUGGCGACCGGCAAACGGGUGAGGAACACGUACACAACCUUCCUUCAAGCGGGGAAUAGCCCAGAGAAAUUUGGAUUAAUACCCCAUAAUAUAUUUGAUAAGGCAUCUUAUUAAAUAUUAAAGCUUCGGCACUUGAUGAUGGGUGUGCGGCUGAUUAGAUAGUUGGCGGGGUAACGGCCCACCAAGUCUACGAUCAGUAGCUGAUGUGAGAGCAUGAUCAGCCACACGGGCACUGAGACACGGGCCCGACUCCUACGGGAGGCAGCAGUAAGGAAUAUUGGACAAUGGACGAAAGUACUGAUCCAGCCAUGCCGCGUGAAGGAUUAAGGUCCUCUGGAUUGUAAACUUCUUUAUAUGGGACGAAAAAAGGGCAUUCUUGUUCACUUGACGGUACCAUAUGAAUAAGCAACCGGCUAACUCCGUGCCAG
Molecule: ribosomal RNA, 491 nt
Filed under: uncultured bacterium
Lineage: Bacteria
Description: bacterial SSU rRNA
Rfam family: Bacterial small subunit ribosomal RNA
Source: RNAcentral